GACGAACGCUGGCGGCGUGCUUAACACAUGCAAGUCGAACGGAGAUUAUUAAUGAAGCUUGCGAUUUAAUAAUCUUAGUGGCGGACGGGUGAGUAACGCGUGGGCAACCUACCCAUAAGAGGGGGAUAACAUCCGGAAACGGGUGCUAAUACCGCAUAGUUUUCUUGAUCGCAUGAUUGAGAAGGAAGACGGCCUUUGUGCUGUCGCUUAUGGAUGGACCCGCGGCGUAUUAGUUAGUUGGUGAGGUAACGGCUCACCAAGACGAUGAUACGUAGCCGACUGAGAGGGUGAUCGG
This 295-nucleotide ribosomal RNA is filed under the name uncultured bacterium. RNAcentral describes it as "partial 16S ribosomal RNA". It matches the Rfam family "Bacterial small subunit ribosomal RNA", at positions 28 to 307 of the family's 1533-position model. The record is from RNAcentral.